This 758-nucleotide small RNA is filed under the name Pan troglodytes (chimpanzee). RNAcentral's name for it is "retained intron". The record is from RNAcentral. Lineage: Eukaryota; Metazoa; Chordata; Mammalia; Primates; Hominidae.
UGGAGCUCAGUGUCCAGUAGAAAUCACUGAUGUAGCAAUGUUGCAGUAAAUAGAAAUGAUUAUAUAUUUCAAUAGCUUAGCAAGAAGACAUUUAUAAUAUUUUUUUCUUUCAUCUGAUUAAGUUUUGCUGUCUGUUUUCUUCCAGAGAGAUGUGGAUAAUUUGCCCUGCCUCCAACAUCUCUUUCUCAGCUUCAAUAAUAUAUCUAGUUUUGACAGUGUUUCCUGCCUUGCUGACUCUUCUUCCCUCUCGGACAUCACCUUUGAUGGCAAUCCCAUAGCUCAAGAGUCAUGGUACAAACACACUGUCCUUCAGAAUAUGAUGCAGCUGCGCCAGCUAGAUAUGAAGAGAAUCACGGAGAAGAGAAGGUUAACAAUUAACAACGUAGCUCGACAGUGGGACUUGCAACAACAACGAGUAGCCAAUAUUGCUACAAAUGAAGAUAGAAAAGAUUCUGACUCUCCUCAGGACCCCUGUCAGAUUGAUGGAAGCACCCUCUCUGCAUUCCCAGAGGAAACAGGGCCUCUAGACUCAGGACUCAACAAUGCUUUACAAGGUUUAUCUGUCAUAGACACAUACCUUGUUGAAGUGGACGGGGAUACACUUUCCCUGUAUGGCUCAGGAGCACUGGAAUCUCUGGAUAGGAAUUGGAGUGUUCAAACAGCAGGAAUGAUCACAACAGUCUCCUUCACUUUCAUAGAAUUUGAUGAAAUUGUCCAAGUGCUUCCUAAACUGAAGAUUAAAUUUCCUAAUUCUCUGG